AACGAACGCUGGCGGCAUGCCUAACACAUGCCAAUCGAACGAGACCUUCGGGUCUAGUGGCGCACGGGUGCGUAACGCGUGGGAACCUGCCCUUAGGUUCGGAAUAACUCCCCGAAAGGGGUGCUAAUACCGGAUAAUGUCUUCGGACCAAAGAUUUAUCGCCUUUGGAUGGGCCCGCGUUGGAUUAGCUAGUUGGUAGGGUAAAAGCCUACCAAGGCGACGAUCCAUAGCUGGUCUGAGAGGAUGAUCAGCCACACUGGGACUGAGACACGGCCCAGACUCCUACGGGAGGCAGCAGUGGGGAAUAUUGGACAAUGGGCGAAAGCCUGAUCCAGCAAUGCCGCGUGAGUGAUGAAGGCCUUAGGGUUGUAAAGCUCUUUUACCCGGGAUGAUAAUGACAGUACCGGGAGAAUAAGCUCCGGCUAACUCCGUG
RNAcentral lists this ribosomal RNA (433 nucleotides) under uncultured bacterium. Its description in RNAcentral is "partial 16S ribosomal RNA". It matches the Rfam family "Bacterial small subunit ribosomal RNA", at positions 29 to 507 of the family's 1533-position model. The record is from RNAcentral.